Molecule: ribosomal RNA, 550 nt
Filed under: Segatella copri
Lineage: Bacteria; Pseudomonadati; Bacteroidota; Bacteroidia; Bacteroidales; Prevotellaceae
Description: bacterial LSU rRNA
Rfam family: Bacterial large subunit ribosomal RNA
Source: RNAcentral
GCAGUCCGGCAGUAAGGGGGCGGGUGCUAAGGUCCGUCCCCGAGAGGAGAAGAAUCCAGACCGCCGUCUAAGGUCCCGGAGUUCUGCCUGAGUUAGUCUAACGAAGUCUGGUCCCUAUGACAGCUAGGAUGUUGGCUUGGAAGCAGCCAUCAUUCAAAGAGUGCGUAACAGCUCACUAGUCGAGGGUCCGGGCAUGGAUAAUAAUCGGGUAUAAGGCAGACACCGAAGGCGCGGGAUAGCAAUUAUAAAAGUAUCGGUAGGGGAGCAUACUCACAGCGUCGAAUGGUGUACGUAAGUUAUCCUGGAGCGGUGAGUAAAGCAAAUGUAGGAAUAAGUAACGAUAAGGAGGGUUAGAUUCCCUCCCGCUGUAAGACCAAGGUUUCCCGGGCAAUGCCAAUCAGCCCGGGGUCAGUCGGGUCCUAAGUCUAAGCCGAACGGCGAUGGCGAUGGCAGAGACGGUUAAUAUUCCGUCACUGCCGCAUGGGGCGACGUGGAGACGGAGCAGUGAAACCACCGCGGGGCGACGGAAGUCCCCGUUGAAGGGUGUAGG